GUGGGGAAUAUUGGACAAUGGGCGAAAGCCUGAUCCAGCCAUGCCGCGUGUGUGAAGAAGGUCUUCGGAUUGUAAAGCACUUUAAGUUGGGAGGAAGGGCAGUAAGUUAAUACCUUGCUGUUUUGACGUUACCGACAGAAUAAGCACCGGCUAACUUCGUGCCAGCAGCCGCGGUAAUACGAAGGGUGCAAGCGUUAAUCGGAAUUACUGGGCGUAAAGCGCGCGUAGGUGGUUUUGUAAGUUGGAGGUGAAAUCCCCGGACUCAACCUGGGAACUGCCUCCAAAACUGCAUGACUAGAGUACGGUAGAGGGUAGUGGAAUUUCCUGUGUAGCGGUGAAAUGCGUAGAUAUAGGAAGGAACACCAGUGGCGAAGGCGACUACCUGGACUGAUACUGACACUGAGGUGCGAAAGCGUGGGGAGCAAACAGGAUUAGAUACCCUAGUAGUCC
This 450-nucleotide ribosomal RNA is filed under the name uncultured bacterium. RNAcentral describes it as "partial 16S ribosomal RNA". It matches the Rfam family "Bacterial small subunit ribosomal RNA", at positions 354 to 796 of the family's 1533-position model. The record is from RNAcentral.